This is a non-coding RNA of Triticum urartu, 115 nucleotides long. NCBI's taxonomy places the organism in Eukaryota, Viridiplantae, Streptophyta, Magnoliopsida, Poales, Poaceae. The record is from Rfam.
GAACUACUCCCUCCAUUCGGAAUUACUUGUCGUAGAAAUGGAUGUAUCUAGACGUAUUUUAGUUCUAGAUACAUCCAUUUCCGAGACAAGUAAUUCCGAACGGAGGGAGUACUAG